AGCUGUUUUGGGAUUACAACUCCCAUCAUCCCUAGCUAACAGGACCAGUGGUCAGGGGUGAUGGGAAUUGUAGUCCCAAAACAGCU
This is a non-coding RNA of Podarcis lilfordi (Lilford's wall lizard), 86 nucleotides long. The record is from the annotation of a GenBank genome assembly. NCBI's taxonomy places the organism in Eukaryota, Metazoa, Chordata, Lepidosauria, Squamata, Lacertidae.